GAACCGACUCAGAAAGCUCCGAAGCAAACUGGAGCUUACCAACAAUAGCUGUAUGACCUGGCUCCUACUUGUGCGGUGUAUGAGCUGAGGUACCUGUGCCUGCAGCAUGAAAUGCAGGUCCCCCGUGAGGGACGUCAGUACGAAAUAUGUACUGAGUAUGUAAAGCUGUAAAUAAUCACAUAUGAUAUAGGAGCUUAAUAGAAAUCAGAAACAAGUGAAUAAGUCGUAAUAGGAGUGGACCACACUUACUAGAACUUGUGACAACCUGUACAUUGUAUUUAUUCAAUCACUUUACCUUCGUUCUUAUCGUCUUUGUAAUCAUUACUGUACUGUACUGUGACCAUUAGGAUGCCUCCAGUACAUAUCAACUGGGAUCGACCCAUGCUAGGCUUAUGCCCCUGGGAUACCACCCAUAAACACAUGAAAUAGGGAUCGACCCAUGCUAGGCUUAUGCCCCUGGGAUACCACCCGAUAAGAGAGAACUCCCAUCACUUAGUUCAAUUAAUCUUUGAGAUUGUUAUUUCGGUCGCCACCACAUUUUUGAUACUUUGAAACAAUGAUACAUCAAUAGGAACCAAGUAAUAGACCUUCUAUACAAUAACGAUGUAAUAAAGACUCAUUGGUACAUCAACAAUGUGUUUCAGAAUCAUCAAUAUCACAACAAUGAAAUAAGAGCCUUUUGGUAUAUCAAUGAAACAUUUUGACACUUUAUAGAAUGGAAACAACUUCGUUGGUAACGUAGAACAAUACAUGUUUUUGGACAACCUCGGAAUCUUACUUGAUGGAACAUUGGUGUUUUCAUGCCAAAGAACAUUGUUAGAGUAUGCUUUACAUACCUCGUUGUAGAUUCAGAUACCAAUUCAACACAACUUCCCGCCUUUACAAAUCACUUAUCUACAAUGAAAUGUUUGGCAUCUAGUAUUAGCAACCCAACACCACAAUUCUCUUCCAUAAUUCCAUACUACCAAUAUUUGCAAAACAUUCCAAAAACCAACUUGAACAAUAGGUUUAUGUGUGUAUAUAUAUAUAAUCAUCAUUUCAAUACCACAUCAUCAAUACCACAUCAUCACCCCAAAUUCCUUCACAAUUUAACAUAAUCCAACCAUGCACAAGAAUAAUCCAACAUCAUUUCCAAUCAUCUUUCAACAACAAUCAAAUAACAUACUUCUUAUGCUCACAUGCAUAUAUAUAUAUACAUAUCCAUAUAAAUAACACCAACAUAAUUUACAUCCUUACCAAAAAAAUGGCCCUUUUGAUUUCGAAGUCCUGUUGGCACAAAUAAGGGGUGCUUCUCGAAGCCCUUGAGACGGUGAACACAACUACGGAAUCAAUUUGGAUUUUCUACGGUUGAAUCACAAGAUAAUUGGAGUUGAAAUUUGGCUAGGGUUUCUUAGUUUUCAAUAAUGGAUGAUAAAUAAUGGAUAUGAGGCUAAGUAUAUGUAUAUAAUGACCAAUUUUCGUUCAAGAGGUGAUGGAAAAUGACCAUAUUGCCCUUAAAAAUUUAAGUAAAUCCGAAUCUGUCCAUGGUGGACUGUUUUGAUAGGCUAAAGUAAAUCGGCCAUAACUCUUUGCUCCGAUAUCGGAUUUGGGUGAAAUUGGUAUCGUUAGAAAGAUAAUUCAAAGGUAUUUCAUUUAAUAUAAAUUAAUCCACCCAGUUCGUCCUGUACAAGUAGUUAUGAUCGUUUGAAGUUGACCCUAAAAAUCUGUUUUGAGAGGCUGAAGUAAAACGAGUAUAACUCCUUACUCAGAUGUUGGAUUUGGAUGAAACCAAUUUCAUUGGAAAGAAGACUCAAAGAUCUUUCUUUUGAUAUAUGGUAGCUCAACCAGUUCAUUAUAUUGAGGGAGUUAUGAUCGUUCAAAGUUGACCCAAAAAACUGGCAGGCCUCAGUAGUUUCCUGCACAUUUUACUGUUCACAUCCCGGCCACCGUUUUAAAGUUUCGAACGAGCUCGCUUAUAUCCGAAACUUAUCCGUUUUUGGAAAUCUUUAUAUCGUUGGAAAGCUUAUUCAAUAACCUUCGUAUGGAACCAUCGACGGGAAAAUUCCGAUAUAAAUAAAGUCGAUUCCUAUACACCUAUAAUCAAACUAUACACUUGAAACCAUCUCAAAAUAAUCAAUACUCAUACUUAAACUCAUAUAUACCUAACUUAGGAUCAAUACAUAUACCCCAACACAUAUAACAAUGACUAAUGCACGUAAUUAAGUACGGGGUGUUACAUCCUUCCCCCCUUAAGGACAUUCGUCCUCGAAUGUGAAUGUAGUUAUUUAGCCGAAACAAGUUCAAGUCCACCAUUAACAUUCACAUCAUCACAUAAAUACUAUGCAUAUAUAAACAAAAACUUACUUGUUAAUGUUCUAACUCCGUUUCUUGAACUUCCUCUUCAUCUUUGAACAAAUGAGGGUACUUAGAUUUCAUUGCUUCCUCAGCUUCCCAUGUAAUCUCUUCCCUUUGUUGAUUUCUCCAAAGUACCUUUACUGAUGCCAUUUCUUUGUUCCUUAACUUUUUAACUUGGCGAUCUAGAAUAGCAACCGGUACCUCUUCAUAAGUAAGAUCCUCUGUGACCUGUACAUCUUCUAUAGGAGUGAUACGAGAGGGGUCACCUAUGCAUUUUCGAAGCAUUGACACAUGAAACACUGGAUGAACCAUUGAAAGUUCCUGGGGUAGCUCUAAUUCAUAUGCAACUUGUCCGACCCUCUUGGUAAUCUUAUAUGGCCCUAUGUAACGUGGGCUUAGUUUCCCUUUUUUACCAAAUCUCAUAACCCCUUUCAUUGGUGAUACCUUUAAAAAUACCCAAUCUCCAAUAGAGAAUUCCAGCCCUCUUCUCCGAAUAUCUGCAUAUGAUUUAUGACGACUUUGGGCUGUUUUUAGCCGUUGUUGUAUCACCUUGACUUUUUCUAUGGCUUGAUACACAAGAUCCGGUCCGAACAUAAGAGUUUCACCCGCUUCGAACCAUCCUAUUGGUGAUCUACACUUUCUCCCAUAUAAAGCUUCAUAUGGUGCCAUUUUGAUACUUGAAUGAUAGCUAUUAUUGUAGGCAAACUCAAUAAGAGGUAAAUGAUCAUCCCAGCUGCCUUUAAAAUCUAUAACACAUGCUCGUAGCAUAUCUUCAAGUGUUUGAAUGGUGCGCUCUGCUUGUCCAUCCGUCUGAGGGUGAAAAGCUGUACUCAGAUUCACUUGUGUUCCCAAACCCCGUUGGAAAGACUUCCAAAAGUUUGCAGUAAAUUGAGUUCCCCGAUCCGAUAUAAUAGAAGUUGGCACUCCAUGUAAUCGGACUAUUUCUUUAACAUACAGCUUCGAAUAUUCUUCAACUGUGUAAGUGGUCUUAACGGGUAAGAAAUGUGCGGAUUUAGUAAGCCUAUCCACAAUCACCCAUAUAGAAUCAAAUUUUCGAGCUGUACGAGGCAAACCUGUAACAAAAUCCAUGUUGAUCAUGUCCCACUUCCAAAUUGGAAGAUCUAUGCAUUGCAUAUAGCCUCCGGGUUUUUGGUGCUCAACUUUAACUCUUUGACAAUUUGGACAUUCAGCUACAAAUUCUGCAAUGCUCUUCUUCAUGUCAUUCCACCAAUACAUAUCUUUCAAAUCUUGAUACAUUUUGGUUGAUCCUGGAUGAAUGGAAUACCUUGAAAAAUGUGCCUCUGUCAUAAUCUUCUUUCUUAGCCCGUCUAUAUCCGGCACACACAAUCGGUUUUGGCACUGAAGUACUCCUUCUCGCGUAAGCUCAAAUGCCUUGGUCGCACCACUCUGAACGUUCUCCUUAAGAUGUAAUAAAAUAGGAUCUGCAUAUUGCUUCUCUUUCACUUCAGCUACUAAUGAAGAUUCCGCAGCAUUAUGUACGAUAAGCUCUUUAUUCGGAGUUUCAAGAAGGCGAACUCCCAAACUAGCUAACUGGUGAAGAUCUUUAACCAUCCCUUGCCUUUCUAUAGGCGCCAUCAUAGCCUUACGACUUAACGCAUCAGCUACCACAUUUGCUUUCCCUGGAUGGUACAAGAUAUCAACAUCAUAGUCCUUUAAUAGUUCAAGCCAUCUCCGCUGCCUUAAAUUUAGAUCCUUCUGAUUAAAAAUAUAUUGCAAGCUCUUAUGGUCAGUAUAUAUAUCAACGUGAACCCCAUAUAAGUAGUGGCGCCAUAUCUUUAAAGCAAAAAUAACCGCUGCCAGCUCAAGAUCGUGUGUAGGAUAAUUUUUCUCAUGUGGCCGUAAUUGUCUAGAAGCAUAUGCUAUUACCUUACCAUGCUGCAUCAAUACACAUCCUAAACCAAUUCUGGAAGCAUCACAAUACACUGUAUACCCUUCGGUGCCUUCUGGUAGUACCAACACGGGUGUAGAAAUCAACUUGUUCUUUAAAUCUUGAAAACUCUUCUCACAGGCAUCAUUCCAUUGGAAUUUGGAUGCUUUAUGGGUUAGCUUGGUUAAGGGUGCUGAAAUGGAAGAAAAGUCUUUGACAAACCUUCUAUAAUAACCGGCCAACCCAAGAAAACUACGAAUCUCCGUAGGCGUUGUGGGCCUUGGCCAGUUCUUCACAGCCUCUAUCUUUUGAGCAUCAACCUUUAUCCCUUCACUAGAUACAAUAUGACCCAAAAAUGCCACCGACUUUAACCAAAACUCACAUUUAGAGAACUUUGCAUAAAGCUUACAAUCACGAAGAGUCUGCAAUGCCUGUCGUAAGUGAUUGGCAUGGUCCUCUUCUGAUCUAGAAUAAACUAGAAUAUCAUCUAUAAAAACUAUCACAAAUACAUCCAGGAAUGGCUUAAAAACCCUAUUCAUCAAAUCCAUAAAAGCUGCGGGUGCAUUUGUUAGCCCAAAUGACAUAACUAGAAACUCAUAAUGACCAUACCUUGUUCGGAAAGCUGUUUUGGGUAUAUCUUUGAAAGAAACCCAUGAAUGAACAUCCACAUACCUUAAUAGAUGAUUUCUUGAAGAUUUCUUGAGGGUUUCUUGAAUUUGAAGCUUGAGUUCCUUGGUUUUUUAGGGAGAAAAAAAUUGAAAUUGGUGAUUUUGAGAAAGUGGGAAGGGUUUUCUUGAGAUGGAUUUAGAGAAGAAGGGCAAAUAAUGCUCUAAAUGAUGUCUCAAUUCGUGUUAUGCAUGAUUUGGGUUGAGGGGAACAGACACAAUUUCCCCUCAGGCAAUUAAAUUCAUAACUGGGCAUAACAUACUUACCGCAACGCGGUCUAAUUGAAGUCAUCCAUUUCCCUUACCGCAACGCAGUGAGCAUGCAAAUGGAAAUAUUAAAGCGACGCAGCCGUAUCGCAGUGACUUUCUGGAUUUGUGAUCCAAACAUGACCGAAACCUCAUUCAAAAAAUUUGAAACUUCUCUAAGACAUGCUCCUUACAUCCCUGAAUAUGAAUUAACUCAAAAACCAACACCUUAGGAUCGGGAAGACCAAUCGAAAAAUCCUCGAAGUUAAGAGGACUUAUAAAUGACUAAUUCCCCAACACUUAGUGAAAUUUUUAGGCCUUAAGCCCCUUAUGCAUACAACUAGAAGAUGAACUGACCUAAUAAUAAUAUGGGGUAUUAUAGAAGUGCUGAAAGAAAGACUUAAUCAAAUAAUAAUUAAGCUAAGAAAAAUAGAGAACUUAAUCAAAUGGACGAGAAACCAGAUUGAAUCCAUAAUAUGAUAACUUAAUGAUAAAUCAAGUGAAGAAGAUAACACAAACAAUUUAGAAAGACACCCUAAUCACUCAAUCUAAGCUAACAAUUGAAAUUGAACCCAAUUACUGCCCUAAUAUCGAAUAACUAAAUAUCAAUUCUAUUCAAGACAAUUCACUUUUCCAAAUCUAAGUGAUGAAAAUGGAUAAAGAAACUAUUUAUAGUCAGUGCCUUUACAGAAAAAGUCUAUUACAAAAAUCUCCCUAAUGUGACCAUUUUACAAAUAACUCACAAGGGACCUUCUUAAUUGGCCAAAUGGCAUCUUGAUUGCCAAUGACCUUAUGUAUCUAUUUCUUCAUGCCUUCCUUCAAACUCCAAGAUAUCAUCCAUACAUGGAAGACCCUCCUAAUAUGUUCCAAGCUAAUCAUGAUCCACUUCAUCAAAAGAAUUCAUCCACGAAUCCAAACUUUUUUAAAAAAUGAGAAGGAAAAACAACAAACAUAUCAUCGUAGCAUGAGGUUUAACACAAGGAUUAUCAAUAACAAAUUUAUGGCCAUGCCAAGGGUGUACACAUUUAACAUAUAACCAAGCAAAAAAAUGAGUCAUAAAUGGUUUGUCACCCAACAAAAAUUGAUAUACUUGGCUACAUAGGAAACAUUGACAAAGGGGCAAAUCAAAAGAACCAUGGUGUUUAGGCAACCACUGAUACAAGUCCUCAAUGGUUCUAAAUUUAGAAAAAAAAAUCUCCCUUUAAGUCAUGUAACACAUGAUAACCCAUAUAACUAUGUUUCAUGUCAUAAAUGAGGUCAUUCCAAGUCAAUACUCUAUCCAAUGCACUAACUAUCUUAAAGAAUAGAAUUACUCCUAAUUCAUCAUUGGAGAUUAAAUACGAAGGUAUUCUCUACAUAAUUUGGCAAAUAUAUCUUAUUAAACAUAUAAGAUCAAGUAAUAACACCAAGCAAUAAUCAUAUGAGAGAAAAAAUAUGUUACUACUAUACUUACCACCACGCAAGCCAACAACCUCACCCACAACUUUCUUGUCAUUUGAACCAAGUAUUUUAUCACAAACGCCACUAUUCAAAUCAUUACCAGGACAAAAGGAAAAGGCAAUCCAUAAACAUGGGUAAAAUCAUACACCUAUUUGCCCCAUUGACACUCUACUCUCACAUAACAUACUCCACUCAAAGGAAAGAGUAUCAUCAUAUGCAAAAAAAGUGGUAUAGAAAGGUGUUACUUAAAUAAAGUUUAUUUAAGGUGUGCCCACAUAUAGAAUCACCCUUUGAUCUACAAGCAUUAAGCCCUUGAUCAAGCAUGGGUUCACACAAGAAUGAAUAGGUCAUUGGAGAACAUACACCCCCUUCUUUUGGACCACUAACCCCUCCAAUUGACAAACUAUCAUCUUUUAAGAAGAGAGUUUUGUCUUUAAAAAAUGUGUCAUCAUACCAUAGUGGAUUUUUGAUCACUUGUGUCACGCCCCAAAAUCCCAUCGGGCCGGACUGGCACCCGAAGCCGAGAAGGCCCGGGAGAACCCGUUCAAAUACCUGUACUUUCACUUACAUGUCACCAAAAAAAUUGGACAGCACUUCGUUGCAUAUAGAAAGGUCUAAUUACCUGUAUCAGCACAACACGCACAAAUAUAUAUAUAUAAUACUUGGCCGUCGGGGCCACCACAUAUACAAAUAUAACGUUACUAUAUAAACUUCCAUGACUUUACCCUUCCUUAUGUCUACAAAGCCUCUAGGAUAUACAUGACAUAACUAGGGUCGGGACAAACCCCCGCCCACACGUGACUCAUGUACAAUAACAAAACAUAAGGAACCGACUCGGAAAGCUCCGAAGCAAACUGGAGCUCACCAACAAUAGCUGUAUGACCUGGCUCCUACUUGUGCGGUGUAUGAGUUGAGGUACCUGUGCCUGCAGCAUGAAAUGCAGGUCCCCCGUGAGGGACGUCAGUACGAAAUAUGUACUGAGUAUGUAAAGCUGUAAAUAAUCACAUAUGAUAUAGGAGCUCAAUAGAAAUCAGAAACAAGUGAAUAAGUCGUAAUAGGAGUGGACCACACUUACUAGAACUUGUGACAACCUGUACAUUGUAUUUAUUCAAUCACUUUACCUUCGUUCUUAUCGUCUUUGUAAUCAUUACUGUACUGUACUGUGACCAUUAGGAUGCCUCCAGUACAUAUCAACUGGGAUCGACCCAUGCUAGGCUUAUGCCCCUGGGAUACCACCCAUAAACACAUGAAAUAGGGAUCGACCCAUGCUAGGCUUAUGCCCCUGGGAUACCACCCGAUAAGAGAGAAC
Molecule: long non-coding RNA, 7882 nt
Filed under: Capsicum annuum
Lineage: Eukaryota; Viridiplantae; Streptophyta; Magnoliopsida; Solanales; Solanaceae
Description: long non-coding RNA (CANN_LNC015435)
Source: RNAcentral